AUUGAACGCUGGCGGCAGGCCUAACACAUGCAAGUCGAGCGGAUGAAGGGAGCUUGCUCCUGGAUUCAGCGGCGGACGGGUGAGUAAUGCCUAGGAAUCUGCCUGGUAGUGGGGGAUAACGUCCGGAAACGGGCGCUAAUACCGCAUACGUCCUGAGGGAGAAAGUGGGGGAUCUUCGGACCUCACGCUAUCAGAUGAGCCUAGGUCGGAUUAGCUAGUUGGUGGGGUAAAGGCCUACCAAGGCGACGAUCCGUAACUGGUCUGAGAGGAUGAUCAGUCACACUGGAACUGAGACAUGGUCCAGACUCCUACGGGAGGCAGCAGUGGGGAAUAUUGGACAAAGGGCGAAAGCCUGAUCCAGCCAUGCCGCGUGUGUGAAGAAGGUCUUCGGAUUGUAAAGCACUUUAAGUUGGGAGGAAGGGCAGUAAGUUAAUACCUUGCUGUUUUGACGUUACCAACAGAAUAAGCACCGGCUAACUUCGUG
This 484-nucleotide ribosomal RNA is filed under the name uncultured bacterium. RNAcentral's name for it is "partial 16S ribosomal RNA". It matches the Rfam family "Bacterial small subunit ribosomal RNA", at positions 30 to 507 of the family's 1533-position model. The record is from RNAcentral.